This 726-nucleotide ribosomal RNA is filed under the name Triticum aestivum (bread wheat). RNAcentral describes it as "partial small subunit ribosomal RNA". The record is from RNAcentral. Lineage: Eukaryota; Viridiplantae; Streptophyta; Magnoliopsida; Poales; Poaceae.
AUGGCCACAACCAUUGUUGAGCAAAGCGGUGGCCAAUACCAUGUUUUAGUAAUAAUCGCCGAUGGACAAGUCACACGAAGUGUUAACACUGAAUUUGGUCAAUUAAGUACCCAAGAGCAGAUGACUGUAGAUGCUAUUGUGCAAGCCAGUGAAUUUCCUUUGUCUAUAAUUCUGGUCGGAGUUGGAGAUGGUCCUUGGGACAUGAUGAAUGAAUUUGAUGACAACAUUCCUGCUAGAUCUUUUGACAAUUUCCAGUUUGUCAACUUCACUGGAAUCAUGUCAAAAAAGAUCAGUCAAAGCAACAAGGAGACAGAGUUUGCCCUUUCAGCACUCAUGGAAAUACCUUUGCAGUACAAAGCAACAUUACAGCUUGGAAUACUGGGGCGUCGACUUGCAAAGUCUCCAGAGCAAGUUCCACUUCCUCCUCCUUUCGCAAGUUAUAAUACCACCUCAAGAGCAGCACCAUCUUGGGCAAAUAACUUCCAAAGUGUGCCUUCUAAUCUUAGGGAGGAGGCAACUUUAGAUUCAACAAUCACACCGUCAGUUACACCCCCACCAGCUGCAGAUGCUAGAGCAUCGGAACUCCAAUUCUGCCCAGUUUGCCUUGCCAAACCCCGGGACAUGGCAUUUGGUUGUGGUCAUCAGACUUGUUCAGGGUGUGGACCGCAGGUCGCGGACUGCCCCAUCUGUCGAAGGCCAAUUGAUACAAGAGUAAAACUAUACUAA